This 348-nucleotide unclassified non-coding RNA is filed under the name soil metagenome. RNAcentral's name for it is "partial contains 5.8S ribosomal RNA, internal transcribed spacer 2, and large subunit ribosomal RNA". The stretch from base 1 to 120 matches the Rfam family "5.8S ribosomal RNA", at positions 35 to 154 of the family's 154-position model. The record is from RNAcentral.
GAUGAAGAACGCAGCAAAAUGCGAUAAGUAAUGUGAAUUGCAGAAUUCAGUGAAUCAUCGAAUCUUUGAACGCACAUUGCGCCCGCCAGUACUCUGGCGGGCAUGCCUGUCCGAGCGUCAUUUCAACCCUCAGGGCCCUCCAGCAGGGCGCUGGUGUUGGGGAUCGGCAGUCCCAGCGGCUGCCGUCCCUGAAAUGUAGUGGCGGUCCCACCGUGACCUCCCCUGUGCAGUACAUCGCUAGCAGAGGGACAGCGGUGCGGCCACGCCGUAAAACGCCCAACUCUUCAAGGUUGACCUCGGAUCAGGUAGGACUACCCGCUGAACUUAAGCAUAUCAAUAAGCGGAGGA